Molecule: transfer RNA, 72 nt
Filed under: Hemidactylium scutatum (four-toed salamander)
Lineage: Eukaryota; Metazoa; Chordata; Amphibia; Caudata; Plethodontidae
Description: tRNA-Leu
Rfam family: tRNA
About the family: Transfer RNA (tRNA) molecules are approximately 80 nucleotides in length. Their secondary structure includes four short double-helical elements and three loops (D, anti-codon, and T loops).
Source: RNAcentral
ACUUUUAUAGGACAAUAGUUACUCCACCAACCUUAGGAGCUGGACCCCUAGGUGCAAACCCUAGUAAAAGUU